GUGAUUGGUGUCAAUCAUUUUAAUAAUUAUCCCUAACCCUGAAAUUUCCAUCCCUAACUAUAACAUUUUCCGCCAAGUUGGAACUGCCAAAGGGGACGGGGUUGCAAUCUACUGCAGAGAUAGCCUGCAGAGUUCUGUCUUACUAUCCAGGUCAGUACCAAAACAAUUCGAGCUUCUACUUCUAAAAGUCCCCGUUCCAGAAGCAAGUCACUCACCAUUGCCGCUUGCUAUAGGCCACCCUCUGCCCCCAGCUGUGCCCUGGACACCAUAUGUGAAUUGAUUGCCCCAAUCUAUCUUCUGAGCUCGUGCUGCUAGAUGACCUAAACUGGGACAUGCUUAGCAGCAUUUUCACUUUUGGAAAAAUAGCAUGCCCAAUUUCAACUUCCUGCUACUCAUGCCAAGAAUAUAAGAUAUGCAUAUUAUUAGUUGAUUUGGAUAGAAAGCACUCUGAAGUUUCUAAAACUGUUUGAAUCAUGUCUGUGAGUAGAACAGAACUUAUGUUGCAGGCAAAACCCCGAGGACUAACCGUUCAGAUUUUUUUUUUUUUUUUUUUGAGGUCUCUGCCUGUUCAGUGAGUACUCAUUGGGAAAUACUUGAAAAGUAGCAUUAGUUUCCUCUCGUCCUCUAUUGAAAACAGAUAGACCAGUCUUCAAUUUGAUAGAUUAUUGAUGUUUAAAAAUACCUAAAGUUGUAUUACAAAAGUAGUUUGAAUUGUUUUGGCAAAGUUUACAGGCAACUUGGGAUAUUUUGUAGUGACGUUGCGCAAUUUGGAAGCUGUUUUUUCCUGGAUCAAACACACCAAAUAAAUUGACAUAUAGGAUAUAUAUGGAUGGAAUUAAUCGAACAAAAGGACCAAUUGUGAUGUUUAUGGGACAUAUUGGAGUGCCAACAAAAGAAGCUCGUCAAAGGUAAGGCAUGUUUUAUUUCUGCGUUUUGUGUAGCGCCUGCAGGGUUGAAAUAUGCUACUCUUUGUUUACUGUUGUGCUAUCAUCAGAUAAUAGCUUCUUAUGCUUUUGCCAAAAAGCCUUUUAAAAAUCUGACAUGUUGGCUGGAUUCACAACGAGUGUAGCUCUAAUUUAGUAUCUUAC
Molecule: long non-coding RNA, 1088 nt
Organism: Oncorhynchus tshawytscha (Chinook salmon)
Lineage: Eukaryota; Metazoa; Chordata; Actinopteri; Salmoniformes; Salmonidae
Source: Ensembl